GGGCAUGCCGGGUCUGACGAUGCAGUCGAGCGGAGAGGCCUUUUCGGAGGUACUCGAGUGGCGAACGGGUGAGUAACACGUGGGUGAUCUGCCCUGCACUCUGGGAUAAGCCUGGGAAACUGGGUCUAAUACCGGAUAGGACCGCACUUUAGUGUGUGUGGUGGAAAGUUUUUUCGGUGUAGGAUGAGCCCGCGGCCUAUCAGCUUGUUGGUGGGGUAAUGGCCUACCAAGGCGGCGACGGGUAGCCGGACUGAGAGGUUGGUCGGCCACAUUGGGACUGAGAUACGGCCCAGACUCCUACGGGAGGCAGCAGUGGGGAAUAUUGCACAAUGGGCGCAAGCCUGAUGCAGCGACGCCGCGUGGGGGAUGACGGCCUUCGGGUUGUAAACUCCUUUCGCCAGGGACGAAGCGUUUUGUGACGGUACCUGGAGAAGAAGCACCGGCUAACUACGUGCCAGCAGCCGCGGUAAUACGUAGGGUGCAAGCGUUGUCCGGAAUUACUGGGCGUAAAGAGCUCGUAGGUGGUUUGUCACGUCGUCUGUGAAAUUCCACAGCUUAACUGUGGGCGUGCAGGCGAUACGGGCUGACUUGAGUACUGUAGGGGUAACUGGAAUUCCUGGUGUAGCGGUGAAAUGCGCAGAUAUCAGGAGGAACACCGAUGGCGAAGGCAGGUUACUGGGCAGUUACUGACGCUGAGGAGCGAAAGCAUGGGUAGCAAACAGGAUUAGAUACCCUGGUAGUCCAUGCCGUAAACGGUGGGCGCUAGGUGUAGGGGCCUUUUGGGGUUUCUGUGCCGUAGCUAACGCAUUAAGCGCCCCGCCUGGGGAGUACGGCCGCAAGGCUAAAACUCAAAGGAAUUGACGGGGGCCCGCACAAGCGGCGGAGCAUGUGGAUUAAUUCGAUGCAACGCGAAGACCCUUACCUGGGCUUGACAUACACCAGAUCGCUGCAGAGAUGUAGUUUCCCUUGUGGCUGGUGUACAAGGUGGUGCAUGGCUGUCGU
RNAcentral lists this ribosomal RNA (1002 nucleotides) under uncultured bacterium. RNAcentral's name for it is "bacterial SSU rRNA". It matches the Rfam family "Bacterial small subunit ribosomal RNA", at positions 37 to 1055 of the family's 1533-position model. The record is from RNAcentral.